UGCCGCCAUCCAUAUAAGAUGUGACGUGGUCCUCCUCAACUUCUGCCAUGAUUGUGAGGCCUCCCCCAAAUUGCCCAGUCUUGUGAAUUGAUACAGCAGCUCAUCUGAAAAAAAAAGAUGGGGUGGUGGUGGUGGUGGAGAAAACAGCAACUUAAAUAGUGCCAUCUACGAAUUAGGAGUGUUCACUGAAUGAGCAUGAGAUGCAGAUGAGAACAUUGAAGCACAGAGAAAUUAUGUUAACUUGUCCAGUGCCAAAGAGCUAUUAAGUGGCAGAGCUGGGAUUUACUUCCACUGCACUGUUGCCUCUUUGGUUAGGAGCUCUUUGCUGUGCUGAGAUUGCAGUAUUUAAAGAUAGGACAAUGAAUAUGGUGGAUUGUAAUGGUUAAUACUGAGUGUCAACUUGAUUGGAUUGAAGGAUGCAAAGUAUUGAUCCUGAGUGUGGACACUGCACCAGGAACUGGAGGACAAGGUAGCCAAUUUCUUGCCAUUCUAUUAAGGGAGGAAGAUUUUAAACAAAUAACUACAACAAAAUGUACAGAGUGGCAUGAUCAAAGGAGUACAAGGAGCUAUCAGAGAUGACUAGGAGUUGGCCAGAUGAAGAAAGUGUAGAGGGAAGUGUCUUGAAACCUUUCCCCUGAACAAACCUGAAAGGUAGAAGACCAUGAGAUGACGCCUCUGGGGGACUGGGUAUAUAGCUCAAGGCUGUCCAC
RNAcentral lists this long non-coding RNA (710 nucleotides) under Homo sapiens (human). RNAcentral describes it as "HSALNT0069479". Lineage: Eukaryota; Metazoa; Chordata; Mammalia; Primates; Hominidae. The record is from RNAcentral.